Molecule: long non-coding RNA, 784 nt
Organism: Anopheles arabiensis
Lineage: Eukaryota; Metazoa; Arthropoda; Insecta; Diptera; Culicidae
Exons: 2
Source: RefSeq, a predicted model, not a curated record
UUCAUUCAUCAAACAGCGAAGUGAAGCACAUUUGCGUACGUUGUUAGCAUGAGUGUGAAAUAAGAACAACCUUCUUAUCAGGGCGCCUAGGAAGCACCAGGCACAGAAGAACAUCCAAGAACCAUCUCGAAAUAUCGCCUUGAAAAAGGCCGUUGCCGUCCGAAUUGAUUGAUUCCAAAAAUAAUCAGUCUAGCCCUGGAGCUGCUCACUGAUAGUUGGUUCUGCCGUUUGUGAUCGAUGUGUAACGUGUCUGAUCGGUACGAAAAAUGCCAUCCAUUGCCAUUCUGUUGCUAAUCGUUUGCGGCUUACUCUCACACUGGGACUUCCUGCUUGCGCAAGAAGUAUCGUUUGCAUGGAGUGUAUUGAACUGGAAUGAGCCCUUUUACGCUGGUGGAGUGCGAGAUGAAUUAAUAAAGUUUGAUUUCUAUAGCCAUCUUUAGGCACCACCAUGCAACUAGCCAUUAUCACUGAACUUUUGCGAUGAGAAGAUAUCUAGCUGAAGCUGCACAAACAUGAAGACCAAAUCGUUGCAAAUAGCAGAUAAACGAUGUACAGGACCAGUGAAACUAAUCAAACAACAACGAAAAAUGGAUUGUAAAAUAUGGAAAAGUUACUUAAAUAGACAAAAACGUGCUUAUCAGUGAAGGACUUAGAGACGAAUAAGGCCAAUAGGCUAAAAAUCUCUACAAAAAAAACAACAUCCAACAAAUUAAAAAAAAAGUGAAAGACUGCAGCAAAAUAUGACGACUGAAUAAAACCCAUAGUACAAACCUCUUGUAACAAA